GUUGAACGCUGGCGGCAGGCUUAACACAUGCACGUCGAGCGAGAGUCGGACGGGUGAGUAAUGUCUGGGAAAGUGCCUGAUGGAGGGGGAUAACUACUGGAAACGGUAGCUAUUACCGCAUACCAUCAGAUGUGCCCAGAUGUGAUUAGCUAGUAGGUGUGGUAAUGGCUCACCUAGGCGACGAUCCCUAGCUGGUCUGAGAGGAUGACCAGACACAAUGUAACUGAGACACGGUCCAGACUCCUACGGGAGGCAGCAGUGGGGAAUAUUGCACAAGGGGCGCAAGCCUGAUGCAGCCAUGCCGCGUGUGUGAAGAAGGCCUUCGGGUUGUAAAGCACUUUCAGCGAGGAGGCGUUACUCGCAGAAGAAGCACCGGCUAACUCCGUGCCAGCAGCCGCGGUAAUUC
This 406-nucleotide ribosomal RNA is filed under the name uncultured bacterium. RNAcentral's name for it is "partial 16S ribosomal RNA". It matches the Rfam family "Bacterial small subunit ribosomal RNA", at positions 28 to 526 of the family's 1533-position model. The record is from RNAcentral.